UGUACACGCUGUGACUAGCAUAUCAAUAAGCGGAGGAAAAGAAACUAACAAGGAUUCCCCUAGUAACGGCGAGUGAAGCGGGAAGAGCUCAAAUUUGAAAUCUUAAAGGGUUUCCCUUUACGAAUUGUAGUUUAAAGAAGUGUUUUCUGUUGAGGUUUUGGUAAAAGUUCUUUGGAAUAGGACAUCAUAGAGGGUGAGAAUCCCGUAUUUGACCUUUACUUUCAACUUUGUGAUACACUUUCAAAGAGUCGGAUUGUUUGGGAAUGCAGUCCAAAAUGGGUGGUAAAUUUCAUCUAAAGCUAAAUAUUGGCGAGAGACCGAUAGCGAACAAGUACCGUGAGGGAAAGAUGAAAAGAACUUUGAAAAGAGAGUUAAACAGUACGUGAAAUUGUCAAAAGGGAAGCGUUCGACACCAGUGUUGUUUUUCUGAAAAUCAAUUAAAGAACUGUUUAUGCUAAGUUGUUUAGACUUUAUCAGCUAACUGUUUAGUUUUGAGCUUUUCUUUAAUGCACUUUUCAGUUAACAAGUCAACAUCAAUUUCUUUUGCUGUAAAAAAGCUUGAGGAAGGUGGCUUGAGAUUCGUCUUAAGUGUUUAUAGCCUCUUGCCUAUGCAGUCGGAGAGAUUGAGGUCUGCAGCGUAGAUCCUUCGGGGCUAAAUGCAUUUGUGCUAAGUUAUAGCAUUUUAUAGACAACUUGUUGACUAUGAUUUGUCUUGUAGCUUACUCGCUUAUGUUAUUUUACCUACGCUUAGGAUGUUGAGUCGUAGAGCACGCAG
Molecule: ribosomal RNA, 775 nt
Filed under: uncultured Neocallimastigales
Lineage: Eukaryota; Fungi; Neocallimastigomycota; Neocallimastigomycetes; Neocallimastigales
Description: partial large subunit ribosomal RNA
Rfam family: Eukaryotic large subunit ribosomal RNA
Source: RNAcentral